GAUGAAGAACGCAGCGAAAUGCGAUAAGUAAUGUGAAUUGCAGAAUUCAGUGAAUCAUCGAAUCUUUGAACGCACAUUGCGCCCGCCAGUAUUCUGGCGGGCACGCCUGUUCGAGCGUCAUUACAACCCUCAGGCCCCCGGGCCUGGCGUUGGGGAUCGGCAGAAGCCCCCUGUGGGCACACGCCGUCCCUCAAAUACAGUGGCGGUCCCGCCGCAGCUUCCAUUGCGUAGUAGCUAACACCUCGCAACUGGAGAGCGGCGCGGCCAUGCCGUAAAACACCCAACUUCUGAAUGUUGACCUCGAAUCAGGUAGGAAUACCCGCUGAACUUAAGCAUAUCAAUAAGCGGAGGA
This 352-nucleotide unclassified non-coding RNA is filed under the name soil metagenome. RNAcentral's name for it is "partial contains 5.8S ribosomal RNA, internal transcribed spacer 2, and large subunit ribosomal RNA". The stretch from base 1 to 120 matches the Rfam family "5.8S ribosomal RNA", at positions 35 to 154 of the family's 154-position model. The record is from RNAcentral.